UACGGAGGGUGCAAGCGUUAUCCGGAUUCACUGGGUUUAAAGGGUGCGUAGGUGGGUUGGUAAGUCCGUGGUGAAAUCUCCGAGCUUAACUCGGAAACUGCCGUGGAUACUAUCAAUCUUGAAUACUGUGGAGGUAAGCGGAAUAUGUCAUGUAGCGGUGAAAUGCUUAGAUAUGACAUAGAACACCGAUAGCGGAGGCAGCUUGCUACACAGUCACUGACACUGAGGCACGAAAGCGUGGGGAUCAAACAGG
This 253-nucleotide ribosomal RNA is filed under the name uncultured bacterium. RNAcentral's name for it is "partial 16S ribosomal RNA". It matches the Rfam family "Bacterial small subunit ribosomal RNA", at positions 524 to 776 of the family's 1533-position model. The record is from RNAcentral.